GACAGAGGGUGCAACCGUUGUUCGGAAUUACUGGGCGUAAAGCGCGUGUAGGCUGCUUGGAAAGUCGGAUGUGAAAGCCCUGGGCUCAACCCAGGAAGUGCAUUCGAAACUCCCGAGCUCGAGUACCGGAGAGGAAGGCGGAAUUCUCGGUGUAGAGGUGAAAUUCGUAGAUAUCGAGAGGAACACCUGUAGCGAAGGCGGCCUUCUGGACGGUUACUGACGCUGAGACGUGAAAGCGUGGGGAGCAAACAGG
RNAcentral lists this ribosomal RNA (253 nucleotides) under uncultured bacterium. Its description in RNAcentral is "partial 16S ribosomal RNA". It matches the Rfam family "Bacterial small subunit ribosomal RNA", at positions 524 to 776 of the family's 1533-position model. The record is from RNAcentral.